AAAUGACAAAAAUCAUGAGCAGAAAUGUUUGUUCCUUAGAUUUAUUGAACCUAAAUCUGCUCAAUUAUUUUGAAGUAAAUACUACGUUUGUUUCAUUCAGUGAUUGCUGAGUAUGUUUGCUGUCAAAAAUGAAUCUUUUAAAUGGUAUGACAAAAACAGCUACAUUUGGUCCAAGCACUAGACUUUGUUGGUAUAGUUAACGAAUCAGCUCAGAGCUGGGGAUUUGGCAUUUUGCACUAAAAUUGUUCGCAACAGCAAACGGUGUCUCAUUUGCAAAACCGCGAGAAGUGAAGGGAAAAAAGAAAAAACUGAGUCAAAACAUCUGUGAGAUAAAUGGUGAUUGUGAUUUCACUAUAUGUGUGCUGGUUGGUAAAAACAAAAACUCACAAAUAAAGUUAAAAACAAACAAACAAGCUAGUUCAUGUCAGCUGUUCUUUACAUGCGAGGCAAUGAUUCUGCUGAUUUUGGAGAGGGGU
Molecule: long non-coding RNA, 476 nt
Organism: Sander lucioperca (pikeperch)
Lineage: Eukaryota; Metazoa; Chordata; Actinopteri; Perciformes; Percidae
Exons: 2
Source: RefSeq, a predicted model, not a curated record